This 439-nucleotide ribosomal RNA is filed under the name uncultured bacterium. Its description in RNAcentral is "partial 16S ribosomal RNA". It matches the Rfam family "Bacterial small subunit ribosomal RNA", at positions 339 to 795 of the family's 1533-position model. The record is from RNAcentral.
CUACGGGGUGCACCAGUGGGGAAUAUUGCACAAUGGAGGAAACUCUGAUGCAGCGACGCCGCGUGAGUGAAGAAGUAUUUCGGUAUGUAAAGCUCUAUCAGCAGGGAAGAUAGUGACGGUACCUGACUAAGAAGCUCCGGCUAAAUACGUGCCAGCAGCCGCGGUAAUACGUAUGGAGCAAGCGUUAUCCGGAUUUACUGGGUGUAAAGGGAGUGUAGGUGGUAUCACAAGUCAGAAGUGAAAGCCCGGGGCUCAACCCCGGGAGUGCUUUUGAAACUGUGGAACUAGAGUGCAGGAGAGGUAAGUGGAAUUCCUAGUGUAGCGGUGAAAUGCAUAGAUAUUAGGAGGAACACCAGUGGCGAAGGCGGCUUACUGGACUGUAACUGACACUGAGGCUCGAAAGCGUGGGGAGCAAACAGGAUUAGAUACCCCUGUAGUC